UAUUUUAUUUUGGACGAAAAUAUGAUGCAAAUGGAGGAUAGAAGCAUUUUACCUUAGUUGCAUCAGUAAUAUGAGGACUCUUGAAAAAAAUGCGACAAGCAAAUGUGCAAACAUGACCUAUGAGAAUUGGGUUGCCUCCCAACAAGCGCUAAGUUUAACGUCUUCAGCCAGACGUAGUACAUCCUUAAUUAUCCCGAUAAAUAGGAUCCAUCAAAUCAAGGGAUUCAAUCAACUGUCCAUCCACAAGACACUCUUUGUAAGG
Molecule: long non-coding RNA, 262 nt
Filed under: Phoenix dactylifera (date palm)
Lineage: Eukaryota; Viridiplantae; Streptophyta; Magnoliopsida; Arecales; Arecaceae
Description: long non-coding RNA (PDAC_LNC010551)
Source: RNAcentral